UGGGGAAUUUUGGACAAUGGGGGAAACCCUGAUCCAGCCAUCCCGCGUGUGCGAUGAAGGCCUUCGGGUUGUAAAGCACUUUUGGCAGGAAAGAAACGUCGCGGGUUAAUACCCCGCGAAACUGACGGUACCUGCAGAAUAAGCACCGGCUAACUACGUGCCAGCAGCCGCGGUAAUACGUAGGGUGCAAGCGUUAAUCGGAAUUACUGGGCGUAAAGCGUGCGCAGGCGGUUCGGAAAGAAAGAUGUGAAAUCCCAGAGCUUAACUUUGGAACUGCAUUUUUAACUACCGGGCUAGAGUGUGUCAGAGGGAGGUGGAAUUCCGCGUGUAGCAGUGAAAUGCGUAGAUAUGCGGAGGAACACCGAUGGCGAAGGCAGCCUCCUGGGAUAACACUGACGCUCAUGCACGAAAAGCGUGGGGAGCAAACAGGAUUAGAUACCCUGGUAGUCCACGCCCUAAACGAUGUCAACUAGCUGUUGGGGCCUUCGGGCCUUGGUAGCGCAGCUAACGCGUGAAGUUGACCGCCUGGGGAGUACGGUCGCAAGAUUAAAAACUUAAUC
This 560-nucleotide ribosomal RNA is filed under the name uncultured bacterium. Its description in RNAcentral is "partial 16S ribosomal RNA". It matches the Rfam family "Bacterial small subunit ribosomal RNA", at positions 355 to 906 of the family's 1533-position model. The record is from RNAcentral.